This 430-nucleotide ribosomal RNA is filed under the name uncultured bacterium. RNAcentral's name for it is "partial 16S ribosomal RNA". It matches the Rfam family "Bacterial small subunit ribosomal RNA", at positions 338 to 795 of the family's 1533-position model. The record is from RNAcentral.
CCUACGGGAGGCUGCAGUCGAGAAUCUUCGGCAAUGGGCGCAAGCCUGACCGAGCGACGCCGCGUGGAGGACGAAGGCCUUCGGGUUGUAAACUCCUGUCGAGGGGAGCCCUGAUCCCUGGAGGAAGCACGGGCUAAGUUCGUGCCAGCAGCCGCGGUAAGACGAACCGUGCGAACGUUAUUCGGAAUCACUGGGCUUAAAGCGCGUGUAGGCGGGACGGCACGUCGUCGCUGAAAGCCCCCGGCUCAACCGGGGAACGGGCGCCGAUACGACCGUCCUCGAGGAACGUAGGGGGACCUGGAACUUCCGGUGGAGCGGUGAAAUGCGUUGAGAUCGGAAGGAACGCCCGUGGCGAAAGCGAGGUCCUGGCGUUACUGACGCUGAGACGCGAAAGCCAGGGGAGCGAACGGGAUUAGAUACCCUGGUAGUC